UGUGCACCACCCUCUCACCCAAACGAAGGCAGCUGGCCCUGAAGUUCUCUGAGCUUGAGGACAAAAAAAGACCUCUGUGAGUUGUCAGGCUCUGUUACAGUCUGGGUCAGCAGACAAGAGUCCCAGGGCUCGGCCGUCUUCUCUAGGAGAGAAAAUAUUCGUGCCAUAUAGCGUGUUCUAAGAGUUCUCACCAGAAGCCCAGAAAGUUCUGUAUUUACUCAGCAUUCAAGGGAAAACAGACCCUGUAUUUUUGGGAUUCCUGAAAGGUGACCAGGUGAGAGCAAAGCCCAACUUCCUGGGGAAAAGCUCUCAGCGCAGUGAAUGCUACAUUCGGAGGUAGGAAGGCUCUGGAUGUGAGUCUUCAUGUUUGUUUUUUGUUUUUUGUUUUUUUUUCUCUAAAAUUACCAAAAAAGAGGAAUAUCCACAGAAGCAGAAGUAGGAAUGGGGAAGGAGGGGACAAGUUUAGACCAAGCUCUUCUGUGACCUCACUUCUGCUUUUGAAGUCCCACAGCUCUAUAAGAUGGAAACGAACAUCAUGCGCCUCUCAGCAGGAUGCGCUGAGGAAGACAGGACUUGUGUAGCCUUCUGUAGAAGUGCAUAAUCUGAACGGGAUCACAAGGAGCAAAAUCAGACAUGCCCAGAUGAGGGGCAUCUACACACUCUGCAUUCUUCAAAAAUGGCUCAGCGCGAAGGACAAAGCAAGGCUGAGGAGCUAUUCCAGAUUAAAGGAGACUCAUGUGACCUGGCAACUGCACGCAACAUGUGAUUCUGGGUUGGAUCCCAGAACAGGGAAGAACAAUUCUUUAAAAGGCAUUAUAAUGGAGUCAGUUGGGGAAAUUUGAGUUGGAUUGUGUAUUUAAUCAUGGUAUUGUAUUAGUGGUACAUUUCAUGAAUAUGAUCAUUUUACUGUGGUUACAUGAGUGAACCUCCUUGUUCUUAGAGGUAAAGGGUCAAAAUACCCAUAACUUAACCCUUAAAUAGGUUAGCAAAAAUGAUAACUAUAAUGAUGGUAUAUAGAGAGUAAGAGAAAGAAAAAAGAGAGGGAGAUAAAGCAAACGUGGCAAAAUAUUAACAAUCAGUGAAUCCAAAGAGUAUAUGGAGUUCAUUGUAUUAUUCUUGCAACUUUUCUGUAAGGUUAAAAUUCUUUCAAAAUAAGUUUUUAAAAAAUGUUCAUGUUAAAGUCAGGGGUAAAACCAUGGAGACAGGUGUAGCGUAAUAAAAGCAACGGCUAACACACACAGUGCUUUGCAAUGUGCCAGGCAGUUUAUACGUAUUACAUUGUGUAAUCAUCAAAGCCACCCUAUCGGGUAGGUAUUAUUAUUGUCAUCCCCAUUUUACAGAUGGGGAAACUUUGGCUCCAAGAAGCUGAAUAUCUUAAAUCAGCAAGGUCUUAUAGCCAGUAAGUGGAAGAG
This 1412-nucleotide long non-coding RNA is filed under the name Homo sapiens (human). RNAcentral's name for it is "HSALNT0299256". Lineage: Eukaryota; Metazoa; Chordata; Mammalia; Primates; Hominidae. The record is from RNAcentral.